Molecule: ribosomal RNA, 468 nt
Filed under: uncultured bacterium
Lineage: Bacteria
Description: partial 16S ribosomal RNA
Rfam family: Bacterial small subunit ribosomal RNA
Source: RNAcentral
GACGAACGCUGGCGGCGUGCUUAACACAUGCAAGUCGAACGGAAAGGCCCUGCUUUUGUGGGGUGCUCGAGUGGCGAACGGGUGAGUAACACGUUAGUAACCUGCCCUUGACUUUGGGAUAACUUCAGGAAACUGGGGCUAAUACCGGAUAGGAGCUCCUGCUGCAUGGUGGGGGUUGGAAAGUUUCGGCGGUUGGGGAUGGACUCGCGGCUUAUCAGCUUGUUGGUGGGGUAGUGGCUUACCAAGGCUUUGACGGGUAGCCGGCCUGAGAGGGUGACCGGCCACAUUGGGAAUGAGAUACGGCCCAGACUCCUACGGGAGGCAGCAGUGGGGAAUAUUGCACAAUGGGCGGAAGCCUGAUGCAGCAACGCCGCGUGCGGGAUGACGGCCUUCGGGUUGUAAACCGCUUUCGCCUGUGACGAAGCGUGAGUGACGGUAAUGGGUAAAGAAGCACCGGCUAACUACGUG